This 1827-nucleotide ribosomal RNA is filed under the name human gut metagenome. RNAcentral's name for it is "bacterial LSU rRNA". It matches the Rfam family "Bacterial large subunit ribosomal RNA", at positions 1114 to 2925 of the family's 2925-position model. The record is from RNAcentral.
AGCCACCAUUUAAAGAGUGCGUAAUAGCUCACUGGUCGAGAGACGCUGCGCCGAAAAUGUCCGGGGCUCAAGCACGGAACCGAAGCUAUGGCAUGAUAGCAAUAUCAUGGGUAGGGGAGCGUUCUUAUAAGGAAGAAGCAUGACCGGAAGGACAUGUGGACAAAUAAGAAGUGAGAAUGCCGGUAUGAGUAUCGAAAAGAAAGGUGAGAAUCCUUUCCACCGAAAGCCCGAGGGUUCCUGAGCAACGAUCGUCGACUCAGGGUAAGUCGGGACCUAAGCCGAGGCGGAAAGCGUAGGCGAUGGACAACAGGUUGAAAUUCCUGUACCGGAUCAAGUCGAUUGAGCGAAGGAGCGACGCAGGAGGGCACAUGAUCGCGCGGCUGGAAGAGCGCGUCCAAGUGCGUAUGUUGCAGCAGAGGAAAACCCCUGCAGCUAAAAGCAGAGACAUGAAGGGGAGUUAAAGGAAACUUUGACGAACUCAUGAAUCCCACACUGCCAAGAAAAACUUCUAGCGAGACAAGAUCCGCCCGUACCGUAAACCGACACAGGUAGGCGGGGAGAGAAUCCUAAGGUGCGCGGGAAAACCCUCGUUAAGGAACUCGGCAAAUUGCAUCCGUAACCUAGGGAGAAGGAUGGCCCCCGGUCAGUGAAGAGCAGAAACGCUCAGAGCUAAAAGGGGCGGCAGAAAAGAGGCCCAAGCAACUGUUUACCAAAAACACAGGUGCCUGCGAAAGCGAAAGCUGAAGUAUAGGUGCUGACGCCUGCCCGGUGCCGGAAGGUUAAGGAGAGAAGUUAGCGAAAGCGAAGCAUCGAACUGAAGCCCCGGUGAACGGCGGCCGUAACUAUAACGGUCCUAAGGUAGCGAAAUUCCUUGUCGGGUAAGUUCCGACCCGCAUGAAAGGCGUAAUGAUUUGGGCACUGUCUCAACGAGGGGCCCGGUGAAAUUGAAAUACCUGUGAAGAUGCAGGUUACCCGCGACUGGACAGAAAGACCCCAUGGAGCUUCACUGCAGCUUGAGAUUGAAUCCCGGUGACAGAUGCACAGGAUAGGUGGGAGGCGCCGAAGCAUUGCCCUAGGGCGGUGCGGAGCCGAUGUUGGGAUACCACCCUUCUGUUGCUGAGAUUCUAACGCGAGGAGUAACGACCCUGCGGACCCUCUCAGGCAGGCGGUUUGACUGGGGCGGUCGCCUCCGAAAGAGUAACGGAGGCGCCCAAAGGUUCCCUCAGGCCGGACAGAAACCGGCCGAAGAGUGCAAAGGCAGAAGGGAGCUUGACUGCGAGACCAACAAGUCGAGCAGAGACGAAAGUCGGGCUUAGUGAUCCGGUGGUACUGGGUGGAAAGGCCAUCGCUCAACGGAUAAAAGCUACCCUGGGGAUAACAGGCUAAUCUCUCCCAAGAGUUCAUAUCGACGGGGAGGUUUGGCACCUCGAUGUCGGCUCAUCACAUCCUGGGGCUGAAGUAGGUCCCAAGGGUAUGGCUGUUCGCCAUUUAAAGUGGUACGCGAGCUGGGUUUAGAACGUCGUGAGACAGUUCGGUCCCUAUCUGCCGUGGGCGUUGGAGAAUUGAUUGGGGCUGCUCCUAGUACGAGAGGACCGGAGUGGACGCACCACUGGUGUUCCGGUUGUGUCGCCAGACGCAUUGCCGGGUAGCUAAGUGCGGAAGAGAUAAGUGCUGAAAGCAUCUAAGCACGAAACUUGCCAAGAGAUGAGUUCUCCCAGAUUUAAAAUCUGUAAGGGUUGUUUAAGACUAAGACGUAGAUAGGUCUGGUGUGUAAGCGGUGCGAGCCGUUGAGCUAACAGAUACUAAUUGCCCGAGAGGCUUAACUAU